RNAcentral lists this ribosomal RNA (253 nucleotides) under uncultured bacterium. RNAcentral describes it as "partial 16S ribosomal RNA". It matches the Rfam family "Bacterial small subunit ribosomal RNA", at positions 524 to 776 of the family's 1533-position model. The record is from RNAcentral.
UACGGAAGGGGCUAGCGUUGUUCGGAAUUACUGGGCGUAAAGAGCGCGUAGGCGGCUUACCAAGUUGGGGGUGAAAUCACGGAGCUCAACUCCGGAACUGCCUUCAAAACUGGUAGGCUCGAGUCCGGAAGAGGGGCGUGGAAUUCCCAGUGUAGAGGUGAAAUUCGUAGAUAUUGGGAAGAACACCGGUGGCGAAGGCGGCGCUCUGGUACGGUACUGACGCUGAGGCGCGAAAGCGUGGGGAGCAAACAGG